GGGUUGUGAGGUUAAGCGACUAAGCGUACACGGUGGAUGCCCUGGCAGUCAGAGGCGAUGAAGGACGUGCUAAUCUGCGAUAAGCGCCGGUAAGGUGAUAUGAACCGUUAUAACCGGCGAUUUCCGAAUGGGGAAACCCAGUGUGAUUCGUCACACUAUCAUUAACUGAAUCCAUAGGUUAAUGAGGCGAACCGGGGGAACUGAAACAUCUAAGUACCCCGAGGAAAAGAAAUCAACCGAGAUUCCCCCAGUAGCGGCGAGCGAACGGGGAGGAGCCCAGAGCCUGAAUCAGCAUGUGUGUUAGUGGAAGCGUCUGGAAAGGCGCGCGAUACAGGGUGACAGCCCCGUACACAAAAGCGCAUGUGCUGUGAGCUCGAUGAGUAGGGCGGGACACGUGGUAUCCUGUCUGAAUAUGGGGGGACCAUC
Molecule: ribosomal RNA, 426 nt
Filed under: Salmonella enterica subsp. enterica
Lineage: Bacteria; Pseudomonadati; Pseudomonadota; Gammaproteobacteria; Enterobacterales; Enterobacteriaceae
Also listed under: 1 other name
Description: partial 23S ribosomal RNA
Rfam family: Bacterial large subunit ribosomal RNA
Source: RNAcentral